Molecule: ribosomal RNA, 289 nt
Filed under: uncultured bacterium
Lineage: Bacteria
Description: partial 16S ribosomal RNA
Rfam family: Bacterial small subunit ribosomal RNA
Source: RNAcentral
GUGCCUAAGAAAUGCAAGUCGAGCGGGUCGGCAGCAAUGCCGGUCAGCGGCGAACGGUCGCGUAACACGUAGGCAACCUGCCCGAAAGACCGGGACAACUCCUCGAAAGGGGGGCUAAUACCGGAUGCGCCCUCCUCCAGGAUCUGGGGGAGAGUAAAGCCUCGCAAGGGGGCUUUCGGAGGGGCCUGCGGCCUAUCAGCUAGAUGGGGAGGUAACGGCUCACCAUGGCGACGACGGGUAGCUGGUCUGAGAGGAUGGUCAGCCGGACUGGGACUGAGAGACGGCCCAG